Long non-coding RNA from Monopterus albus (swamp eel), 738 nucleotides. RefSeq lists it as uncharacterized. The transcript has 3 exons. The record is from RefSeq and is a predicted model, not a curated record. Lineage: Eukaryota; Metazoa; Chordata; Actinopteri; Synbranchiformes; Synbranchidae.
UCACAGUUAAAAACAUAUCUCGCCGGCAAUUAUGGCCUCCUUGAGUCCUGCUUCUUUGUUAACAAACAUCUGAUUAAGCUCGCGUUGUAGUCACGCCACCCCUUUAAAAAUCGGUACAUGCUAAUUAACAAUCCAAUACAUGCUAGCUGUGUGCUCUGUAAACACUUCUGAGGCGAAUCAUUAAUUCGUUAGUGAUACAGACUUGAACAGUAAACUAUUCUAUAAAUUGCGGACUCACAAGAAAUUAAGCUACAAGCUAGCCUGAACACCCGGCAUUUUUUCGGUAUAGAGGCUAAUAGACGAUAUUGUAACUAUUAAACGCAAAAUUCCGCUCGUGACUAGAUGAUUUUCGCAGGUUGGGCGUGAGCAUACAGAAACACACAGUCAUGGCGACCGUGUUAUAAGGGCGGUCGUUUGGUUUCCAGGCCUGUGUUGUAACUGUGUAAUGGAUGUGGUACAACAUUAACAGGUGGACGGAGUGUUACUACCUCGACCGAUUCACGAUAGAGACGAGUUUACAAGAAAUAUAAGAUACUCAAGAAGAUAAUAAAUAAAAAAAGCCCAGCACUCCAUGCAAACAUUUUUGACUGAGGCUCCCCUGCUUAUCCAGCAGCUACAGAGCAACAUAUUUGGAGACAUUUCAGGUCACCUCAUAAUAAACUCAUCGCCCUCUAUGGUCCGUCGUUUCCUGUUACUUAGUUACCAGUUGCCAUGAUUUGCCUGGGCUGCUUGUGUUUC